RNAcentral lists this transfer RNA (57 nucleotides) under Dryophiops rubescens. RNAcentral's name for it is "tRNA-Ser". The record is from RNAcentral. Lineage: Eukaryota; Metazoa; Chordata; Lepidosauria; Squamata; Colubridae.
GAGGGUGAUACAAGACCUGCUAAUUCUUUAACCUGGAAAUAAACACCAGCCCCCUCU